UACGGAGGGUGCAAGCGUUAUCCGGAUUCACUGGGUUUAAAGGGUGCGUAGGUGGGUUGGUAAGUCAGUGGUGAAAUCCCUGAGCUUAACUUGGGAACUGCCAUUGAUACUAUCAGUCUUGAAUACCGUGGAGGUCAGCGGAAUAUGUCAUGUAGCGGUGAAAUGCUUAGAUAUGACAUAGAACACCAAUUGCGAAGGCAGCUGGCUACUCGGAUAUUGACACUGAGGCACGAAAGCGUGGGGAUCAAACAGG
RNAcentral lists this ribosomal RNA (253 nucleotides) under uncultured bacterium. RNAcentral describes it as "partial 16S ribosomal RNA". It matches the Rfam family "Bacterial small subunit ribosomal RNA", at positions 524 to 776 of the family's 1533-position model. The record is from RNAcentral.